AUACGGAGGGGGCAAGCGUUGUUCGGAAUUACUGGGCGUAAAGGGCGCGCAGGCGGUUUUGUUAGUCAGGCGUGAAAUCCCCGGGCUCAACCUGGGAAUUGCGUUUGAUACUGCGAAACUAGAGUUCGGGAGAGGGUAGUGGAAUUCCCAGUGUAGAGGUGAAAUUCGUAGAUAUUGGGAAGAACACCAGUGGCGAAGGCGGCUACCUGGACCGAUACUGACGCUGAGGCGCGAAAGCGUGGGGAGCAAACAGGAUUAGAAACCCCAGUAGUCC
This 274-nucleotide ribosomal RNA is filed under the name uncultured bacterium. RNAcentral describes it as "partial 16S ribosomal RNA". It matches the Rfam family "Bacterial small subunit ribosomal RNA", at positions 523 to 796 of the family's 1533-position model. The record is from RNAcentral.